GAAACACAGCCCAGCCUUGUCUGUUCAGAUUCUUCUCAGCCCCUCUAAGUAGCAUUCCUUCCUCAAGGGUCUGGGGCAGGAUCCCUUCUGAAAUGGGGGUCUUAUAACCUACUAUCAGACAAGUCUGCAUCUUGGGGCUUCUCCAAGGACCACUUUCCACCAGUACCUGCUUGUUCUGGUCCUCACCUUCACCAGCACAUGAACAUGGAGACUUAAGACUACUCUUGGCAGAUCUCUGGAGAUUUCCAGUGAGGUUCGCUGGCUGUCCAAAUACUGUCGUAGUUAGAAGAGUGACUUAAUCUUCUUCUGGUGAAAUGGUCAUUCCCUAUUGGCUGCUGAUGCGUUUGAAUUGGAUUGUUUCAGUGAUUUUGGCAAGAACUGCCAUGACCAUUCUAGAGAUGCAAAAAUUAACAUACAGAAAGACUCUUGCAAGCUUCACACUGGGAGUCUGUGGGACCGGAUGGGGAUACCUCCUCCGGACUGAGUCUCAACCCCAUCUGUGGAGGCUAUUUGGGAUCCAUGAAUGAGAAAGAUCCAGAAGGCAACUUCUUGAGUUUCUUCUGGAGAAGCACUUCAGUUUGAAAACCAAGUUACUCCUUUUCAUUGACCAUGAGAGAUUUAGACAAAAUACAUAGAAAAUAAACAACAGUCACUUGAAA
Marmota flaviventris (yellow-bellied marmot) is the source of this 659-nucleotide long non-coding RNA. RefSeq lists it as uncharacterized. The record is from RefSeq and is a predicted model, not a curated record. NCBI's taxonomy places the organism in Eukaryota, Metazoa, Chordata, Mammalia, Rodentia, Sciuridae.